This 60-nucleotide non-coding RNA is filed under the name unclassified sequences. RNAcentral describes it as "GP20-b RNA". It matches the Rfam family "GP20-b RNA". The record is from RNAcentral.
GGCCUCCCGCGGGCCUAACAAAGCGGAACAGCGGGUGACGGCGACCACCUAAAACGCCUA